RNAcentral lists this ribosomal RNA (543 nucleotides) under uncultured Microvirga sp. Its description in RNAcentral is "bacterial SSU rRNA". It matches the Rfam family "Bacterial small subunit ribosomal RNA", at positions 105 to 671 of the family's 1533-position model. The record is from RNAcentral. Lineage: Bacteria; Pseudomonadati; Pseudomonadota; Alphaproteobacteria; Hyphomicrobiales; Methylobacteriaceae.
GGUGAGUAGCGCGUGGGAACCUGCCCAGCAGUGGGGGAUAACCGGGGGAAACUCCGGCUAAUACCGCAUGCGCCCGGCGGAGUGAUCCGUUGGGGAAAGAUUGAUCGCUGUUGGAGGGGCCCGCGUCGGAUUAGCUAGUUGGUGGGGUAACGGCCUACCAAGGCUCUGAUCCGUAGCUGGUCUGAGAGGAUGAUCAGCCACACUGGGACUGAGACACGGCCCAGACUCCUACGGGAGGCAGCAGUGGGGAAUAUUGGACAAUGGGCGCAAGCCUGAUCCAGCAAUGCCGCGUGAGUGAGGAAGGCCUUAGGGUUGUAAAGCUCUUUCGGCGGGGACGAUGAUGACGGUACCCGCAGAAGAAGCCCCGGCUAACUUCGUGCCAGCAGCCGCGGUAAUACGAAGGGGGCGAGCGUUGUUCGGAUUUACUGGGCGUAAAGGGCGCGCAGGCGGUUCUGUUUGUCGAGUGUGAAAGCCCCGGGCUCAAACUGGGAACGGCGCUCGAAACGGCGGGACUAGAGAUCGGGAGAGGAGCGUGGAAUUCCC